AACGAACGCUGGCGGCAUGCCUAACACAUGCAAGUCGAACGAGACCUUCGGGUCUAGUGGCGCACGGGUGCGUAACGCGUGGGAACCUGCCCUUAGGUUCGGUAUAACUCCCCGAAAGGGGUGCUAAUACCGGAUAAUGUCUUCGGACCAAAGAUCUAUCGCCUUUGGGUGGGCCCGCGUUGGAUUAGCUAGUUGGUAGUGUAAAAGCCUACCAAGGCGACGAUGCAUAGCUGGUCUGAGAGGAUGACCAGCCACAAUGGGACUGAGACACGGCCCAGACUGCUACGGGAGGCAGCAGUGGGGAAUAUUGGACAAUGGGCGAAAGCCUGAUCCAGCAAUGCCGCGUGAGUGAUGAAGGCCUUAGGGUUGUAAAGCUGUUUUACCCGGGAUGAUAAUGACAGUACCGGGAGAAUAAGCUCCGGCUAACUCCGUG
This 433-nucleotide ribosomal RNA is filed under the name uncultured bacterium. RNAcentral's name for it is "partial 16S ribosomal RNA". It matches the Rfam family "Bacterial small subunit ribosomal RNA", at positions 29 to 507 of the family's 1533-position model. The record is from RNAcentral.